Molecule: long non-coding RNA, 1043 nt
Organism: Salvia miltiorrhiza (redroot sage)
Lineage: Eukaryota; Viridiplantae; Streptophyta; Magnoliopsida; Lamiales; Lamiaceae
Exons: 6
Source: RefSeq, a predicted model, not a curated record
UACUAGUAUUAGUUUUUUUCUAAAACAAAACUUAUCCCUCACUCAAAGUCAAAUUUCAAUGUAGUUUUAAAUUUCAGCAUUUAAAUUUAGAUUUAGGGUUUCUGUUUCCCUCCCACCCACACCCGCCGCCCCACGGCCCCACCGGCGCCGCCCCUUCUGCGCCGAGCCUCGCCGUCCCCCAGGCCUAAGACUCGCCGCGACGCCGUCGCCCUGGCCCCUCCUCGGCGUUGCCCAGACCUAAGGCUCGUAGUCGUCGUCGCCCAGGUCCCAGCCGACCCGCGACGCCGUCGCCCAGGCCCCGCCGAGCCUCGCUCGUAGUCAUCGUCCCCCAGGCCCAGCCUCGCCGUUGCCCAGGCUCCGAGACGCCCCCGUCCGCCCGAAUGCUCAGCCAUAAUUGUCGUUGCUGCCUUCACGAUGCGCUUCCAUCGCCGCCGUCAUUCUUAUAAGGGUUCUGAUUGAGGAAUUCAAUUUCGUUGCUCUUCGGUAUUACAAUUGUAACAGUACGAAGUUGUUAAGGCAAAUUCUAUUGGGAGGAGAAAAACUUGAUCGACUUGUAUGUUAUACUGCUAAGAUAUUCAAGUAACUUUUUGGAGCUUUGUGCAAUGGGAAGAAGACUAUCGAAAAUUGCAGCCAAAGAUCCCCCUUUCUUGCUUAGCUAAUGGCAUCCAGUAAGCAUGAUAAGGGAUAAUACUCUGCUUUCUUAUUCAAGAAGAAGAAGAGGAUCUGCAAAUCAUGGAGCUGCCAUUAAUAUUAUCAGGCUCAUUUAUGCUAGCAAGCUACUUGGUGAUGACAAGACUACCAAAGGCUACAAAUCGAGGACUAUCGGACUUAUGAUUGAAAGAAUAUUGACAAAGUUCAUGUUGAGUGCACAAAUCUCUUGUUGGAACACAUAGUAUGAUAGAUUUUCGUUUUAGCUAUAAGAUACUUGCUACUUGCAAUGUCGAAUCGAAAUAAUUGCAAUGAUAUGUACUUGUUACUUGGUAUAUUCGGAUGAUAAUGUAUAAUUGUUUUGGAUGAAAUAUAAUAUGUUAUUGAUGGUUUUA